UAUAGAAUGAAACAAGUAAGAGCCCACGCAAUGCCGCAGAGAGAUAAUAUUUCAGUUAUUUUUCAGAAUAAUUUUUUUUAGACACGUAUAAUUUUUUUAAUAUAUUAAAAUAUAUAGCGAUAUACGAAAUAGAAAAUACACUCUCACAAAUUAGAUACAAUAUGUCACACUAACUUUAUAUGAAGCACACUUAUUUCAAAAAUUUUAUAAUAUUAAAUAAAAUUAAAAUUAUAGAAAAAUUUCUAAAUUAAAAUAGCAAGAGAACACAAAAUAGCGCACUACCAAAAAUAAAAUGUCCGCAACAACUGCCUAUUUAUAAAAAAAUAAGUCAACCAAAUAUAAAACUAUUUUUUUACACUGUAUUUAUAAAAUUUUAUUAUAAAAGUAGAAAUUCAGUAAUUUUUGUAUCUAGACUUUUUAUACAUUACUAGUUAUAGUGUACAUGCGAUGCACGUCAUAUUUAAUUAAAUUAAAUAUAAAUUUAUAUUUUAAUUUUAAAUAAUUAUUGGUGGUAUGAGUCUAUAUAUCAAUUGAUUUUUUUUUGUAACUUCAAU
Molecule: long non-coding RNA, 554 nt
Filed under: Ananas comosus (pineapple)
Lineage: Eukaryota; Viridiplantae; Streptophyta; Magnoliopsida; Poales; Bromeliaceae
Description: long non-coding RNA (ACOM_LNC022317)
Source: RNAcentral